RNAcentral lists this ribosomal RNA (402 nucleotides) under uncultured bacterium. RNAcentral describes it as "bacterial SSU rRNA". It matches the Rfam family "Bacterial small subunit ribosomal RNA", at positions 355 to 774 of the family's 1533-position model. The record is from RNAcentral.
UAGGGAAUAUUGGUAAUGUGCGAAAGCGCGAACCAGCAACGCCGCGUGCACGAUGAAGGCCUUCGGGUCGUAAAGUGCUUUUAGAGAGGAUGAGGAAGGACAGUACUUUCUGAAUAAGCCUCGGCUAACUACGUGCCAGCAGCCGCGGUAAAACGUAGGAGGCUAGCGUUAUCCGGAUUUACUGGGCGUAAAGCGCAUGCAGGUGGUUUUGUAAGUUGGAUGUGAAAGCUCCUGGCUUAACUGGGAGAGGUCGUUCAAAACUACAAGACUUGAGAUUGGUAGAGGAAAAUGGAAUUCCGGGUGUAGUGGUGAAAUGCGUAGAUAUCCGGAGGAACACCAGUGGCGAAAGCGGUUUUCUGAACCAAUUCUGACACUCAGAUGCGAAAGCUAAGGUAGCAAACG